GGAGAAGCCACGCGCACAACAUGUCGAAUGCGAUCAUACCAGCACUAAAGCACCGGAUCCCAUCAGAACUCCGAAGUUAAGCGUGCUUGGGCGAGAGUAGUACUAGGAUGGGUGACCUCCUGGGAAGUCCUCGUGUUGCAUUCUUUUUUUUUGGUUGCAACUUUGCGUACAACGGACGUAACUUUGUCAUACGGAGUCCGAUCGGGACGUUCUUGUACUUAAAACGACCGGAACGGGAUUUUGAUCCGAAAAACACAUAAGUCAGGACCCACUGGGUUCGUCGCGAUAUUCCAGGCACGCGCACAUGCGGCGGUUGCCAACCCAAAAAAGGUCCUAGAAAUCCCCUCGGUGCCUUCGAGGGAGCGCCCAUAAGGAGAAGCCACGCGCACAACAUGUCGAAUGCGAUCAUACCAGCACUAAAGCACUGGAUCCCAUCAGAACUCCGAAGUUAAGCGUGCUUGGGCGAGAGUAGUACUAGGAUGGGUGACCUCCUGGGAAGUCCUUGUGUUGCAUUCUUUUCUUUUGGUUGCAACUGUGCGUACAACGGACGUAACAUUGUCAUACGGAGUCCGACCGAGACGUUCUUGUACUUAAAACGACCGGAACGGCAUUUUGAUCCGAAAAACACCUAAGUCAGGACCCAUUGGGUUUCGUGCCGAUAUUCCAGGCGCGCGCACACGCGGCGGUUGCCAACCCAAGAAAGGUCCUAGAAAUCCCCUCGGUGCCUUCGAGGGAGCGCCCAUAAGGAGAAGCCACGCGCACAACAUGUCGAAUGCGAUCAUACCAGCACUAAAGCACCGGAUCCCAUCAGAACUCCGAAGUUAAGCGUGCUUGGGUGAGAGUAGUACUAGGAUGGGUGACCUCCUGGGAAGUCCUCGUGUUGCAUUCUUUUCUUUUGGUUGCAACUGUGCGUACAACGGACGUAACAUUGUCAUACGGAGUCCGACCGAGACGUUCUUGUACUUAAAACGACCGGAACGGCAUUUUGAUCCGAAAAACACAUAAGUCAGGACCCAUUGGGUUUCGUGCCGAUAUUCCAGGCGCGCGCACACGCGGCGGUUGCCAACCCAAGAAAGGUCGUUCGGGUCCCCGAAAUGCCUUCGGCGCCUUCGAGGGAGCGCCGAUAAGGACAAGCCGCGCGCACAACAUGUCGGAUGCGAUCAUACCAGCACUAAAGCACCGGAUCCCAUCAGAACUUCGAAGUUAAGCGUGCUUGGGCGAGAGUAGUACUAGGAUGCGUGACCUCCUGGGAAGUCCUCGUGUUGCAUCCUUUUUUUUUGGUUGCAACUGUCCUAACUUUAUGAUACGAAGUCCGACCGGGACGUUCUUGUACUUAAAACGACCGGAACGGCAUUUUGAUCCGAAAAACACAUAAGUCAGGACCCACUUGGUUUCGUGCCGAUAUUCCAGGCGCGCGCACACGCGGCGGUUGCCAACCCAAGAAAGGUUGUUCGGAUCCCCGAAAUGCCCUCGGCGCCUUCGAGGGAUUGCCAAUAAGGACAAGCCGCGCGCACAACAUGUCGGAUGCAAUCAUACCAGCACUAAAGCACCGGAUCCCAUCAGAACUCCGAAGUUAAGCGUGCUUGGGCGAGAGUAGUACUAGGAUGGGUCCUCGUGUUGCAUUCUUUUUUUUUGGUUGCAACUGUGCGUACAACGAACGUAACUUUGUCAUACGGAGUCCGACCGGGACGUUCUUGUACUUAAAACGACCGGAACGGCAUUUUGAUCCGAAAAACACAUAAGUCAGGACCCACUGGGUUUCGUGCCGAUAUUCCAGGCGCGUGCACACGCGGCGGUUGCCAACCCAAAAAAGGUCGUUCGGGUCCCCGAAAUGCCCUCGGCGCCUUCGAGGGAGCGCCGAUAAGGACAAGCCGCGCGCACAACAUGUCGGAUGCGAUCAUACCAGCACUAAAGCACCGGAUCCCAUCAGAACUCCGAAGUUAAGCGUGCUUAGGCGAGAGUAGUACUAGGAUGGGUCCUCGUGUUGCAUUCUUUUUUUUUGGUUGCAACUGUGCGUACAACGAACGUAACUUUGUCAUACGGAGUCCGACCGGGACGUUCUUGUACUUAAAACGACCGGAACGGCAUUUUGAUCCGAAAAACACAUAAGUCAGGACCCACUGGGUUUCGUGCCGAUAUUCCAGGCGCGUGCACACGCGGCGGUUGCCAACCCAAAAAAGGUCGUUCGGGUCCCCGAAAUGCCCUCGGCGCCUUCGAGGGAGCGCCGAUAAGGACAAGCCGCGCGCACAACAUGUCGGAUGCGAUCAUACCAGCACUAAAGCAGCGGAUCCCAUCAGAACUCCGAAGUUAAGCGUGCUUGGGCGAGAGUAGUACUAGGAUGGGUGACCUCUUGGGAAGUCCUCGUGUUGCAUUCCUUUUUUUUUUGUUGCAGCUGUUCUAACUUUGUCAUACGGAGUCCGACCGGGACGUUCUUGUACUUAAAACGACCGGAACGGCAUUUUGAUCCGAAAAACACGUAAGUCAGGACCCACUGGGUUUCGUGCCGAUAUUCCAGGCGCGCGCACACGCGGCGGUUGCCAACCCAAAAAAGGUCGUUCGGGUCCCCGAAAUGCCCUCGGCGCCUUCGAGGAGCGCCGAUAAGGACAAGCCGCGCGCACAACAUGUCGGAUGCGAUCAUACCAGCACUAAAGCACCGGAUCCCAUCAGAACUCCGAAGUUAAGCGUGCUUGGGCGAGAGUAGUACUAGGAUUGGUGACCUCCUGGGAAGUCCUCGUGUUGCAUUCCUUUUUUUUUUGUUGCAGCUGUUCUAACUUUGUCAUACGGAGUCCGACCGGGACGUUCUUGUACUUAAAACGACCGGAACGGCAUUUUGAUCCGAAAAACACGUAAGUCAGGACCCACUGGGUUUCGUGCCGAUAUUCCAGGCGCGCGCACACGCGGCGGUUGCCAACCCAAAAAAGGUCGUUCGGGUCCCCGAAAUGCCCUCGGCGCCUUCGAGGAGCGCCGAUAAGGACAAGCCGCGCGCACAACAUGUCGGAUGCGAUCAUACCAGCACUAAAGCACCGGAUCCCAUCAGAACUCCGAAGUUAAGCGUGCUUGGGCGAGAGUAGUACUAGGAUGGGUCCUCGUGUUGCAUUCUUUUUUUUUGGUUGCAACUGUGCGUACAACGGACGUGACUUUGUCAUAGGGAAUCCGACCGGGACGUUCUUGUACUUAAAACGACCGGAACGGCAUUUUGAUCCGAAAAACACAUAAGUCAGGACCCACUGGGUUUCGUGCCGAUAUUCCAGGCGCGCGCACACGCGGCGGUUGACAACCCAAGAAAGGUCGUUCGGGUUCCCGAAAUGCCCUCGGCGCCUUCGAGGGAGCGCCGAUAAGGAGAA
RNAcentral lists this long non-coding RNA (3344 nucleotides) under Brachypodium distachyon (stiff brome). The record is from RNAcentral. Lineage: Eukaryota; Viridiplantae; Streptophyta; Magnoliopsida; Poales; Poaceae.